CAAAACAGACAUCGAAGUACAGACUCGUGAAUUGCACGAAAAUUCACCUACAACAAAAUUAAGAUGAUUAAUAUUUAAUAAAUCUAAAACAUCAAUAAAAUAUUUGAAAUCAACUCCCUUUUCAUCUUCUAUGGUUGAGAAGUAAUUAUGUUCUUUGGAUCAUCUUUUCUCGAAAAUGAAAAUAGAACAAUCGUGCUGAUAACGUAUUGAGAAACUAAUAAACAAUAUACAAGAAGUAGAGAAUAAAGUAGGGAGAAUAUGUAAUAUGUUAU
This 272-nucleotide long non-coding RNA is filed under the name Erythranthe guttata (spotted monkey flower). RNAcentral describes it as "long non-coding RNA (EGUT_LNC003074)". The record is from RNAcentral. Lineage: Eukaryota; Viridiplantae; Streptophyta; Magnoliopsida; Lamiales; Phrymaceae.